Molecule: transfer RNA, 73 nt
Filed under: Acidobacteriota bacterium
Lineage: Bacteria; Pseudomonadati; Acidobacteriota
Also listed under: 1 other name
Description: Acidobacteria bacterium tRNA-Phe
Rfam family: tRNA
About the family: Transfer RNA (tRNA) molecules are approximately 80 nucleotides in length.
Source: RNAcentral
GGCUGGGUAGCUGAGAGAGCGCAAGCGCCGGCCUGAAAAGCCGGAGAGAGUGGUGCGAGUCCACUACCAGCCA